Molecule: long non-coding RNA, 1128 nt
Organism: Oncorhynchus nerka (sockeye salmon)
Lineage: Eukaryota; Metazoa; Chordata; Actinopteri; Salmoniformes; Salmonidae
Exons: 2
Source: RefSeq, a predicted model, not a curated record
UAUUGUCUCUAGGUAUUAAACUAAUGCUGUGUUGUCAGGUCUAUUGUCUCUAGGUAUUAAACUAAUGCUGUGUUGUCAGGUCUAUUGCCUCUAGGUAUUAAACUAAUGCCUUGUUGUCAGGUCUAUUGUCUCUAGGUAUUAAACUAAUGCCUUGUUGUCAGGUCUAUUGUCUCUAGGUAUUAAACUAAUGUUGUGUUGUCAGGUCUAUUGUCUCUAGGUAUUAAACUAAUGCUGUGUUGUCAGGUCUAUUGUCUCUAGGUAUUAAACUAAUGCCUUGUUGUCAGGUCUAUUGUCUCUAGGUAUUAAACUAAUGCCUUGUUGUCAGGUCUAUUGUCUCUAGGUAUUAAACUAAUGCCUUGUUGUCAGGUCUAUUGUCUCUAGGUAUUAAACUAAUGCUGUGUUGUCAGGUCUAUUGUCUCUAGGUAUUAAACUAAUGCCUUGUUGUCAGGUCUAUUGUCUCUAGGUAUUAAACUAAUGCUGUGUUGUCAGGUCUAUUGUCUCUAGGUAUUAAACUAAUGCUGUGUUGUCAGGUCUAUUGUCUCUAGGUAUUAAACUAAUGCCUUGUUGUCAGGUCUUUUGUCUCUAGGUAUUAAACUAAUGCCUUGUUGUCAGGUCUAUUGUCUCUAGGUAUUAAACUAAUGAUGUGUUGUCAGGUCUAUUGUCUCUAGGUAUUAAACUAAUGCCUUGUUGUCAGGUCUAUUGUCUCUAGGUAUUAAACUAAUACUGUGUUGUCAGGUCUAUUGUCUCUAGGUAUUAAACUAAUGCUGUGUUGUCAGGUCUAUUGUCUCUAGGUAUUAAACUAAUGCUGUGUUGUCAGGUCUAUUGUCUCUAGGUAUUAAACUAAUGCUGUGUUGUCAGGUCUAUUGUCUCUAGGUAUUAAACUAAUGAUGUGUUGUCAGGUCUAUUGUCUCUAGGUAUUAAACAUUAAAGUAAUGCCUUGUUGUCAGGUCUAUUGUCUCUAGGUAUUAAACAUUAAACUAAUGCCUUGUUGUCAGGUCUAUUGUCUCUAGGUAUUAAACUAAUGCUGUGUUGUCAGGUCUAUUGUCUCUAGGUAUUAAACUAAUUCUGUGUUGUCAGGUAUAUUGUCUCUAGGUAUUAAACAUUAAACUAAUGCCUUGUUGUCAGGUC